AUCCAGUUCUGGGCUCCACAAUUCAGGAAAAUUAUGGAGAGGCUUGAAAGAGUUCAGAGGAGAGUCAAGCACAUGAUGACAGGGCAAGAGAACAUGCUUUAUGAAGAGAGACUGUGAGCCAUGGAACUCUUCAGCCUAGAGAAAGCAUGUGCUUGGGGG
Long non-coding RNA from Gavialis gangeticus (Gharial), 159 nucleotides. RefSeq lists it as uncharacterized. The transcript is spliced from 3 exons. NCBI's taxonomy places the organism in Eukaryota, Metazoa, Chordata, Crocodylia, Gavialidae. The record is from RefSeq and is a predicted model, not a curated record.